UCCCUGGUGGCUCAGAGGUUAAAGCGUCUGCCUGAAAUGCAGGAGACCUGGGUUCGAUCCCUGGGUUGGGAA
This 72-nucleotide transfer RNA is filed under the name Ovis aries (sheep). It matches the Rfam family "tRNA". From Rfam's summary of the family: Transfer RNA (tRNA) molecules are approximately 80 nucleotides in length. The record is from Rfam by way of RNAcentral. Lineage: Eukaryota; Metazoa; Chordata; Mammalia; Artiodactyla; Bovidae.